Long non-coding RNA from Oncorhynchus tshawytscha (Chinook salmon), 1796 nucleotides. NCBI's taxonomy places the organism in Eukaryota, Metazoa, Chordata, Actinopteri, Salmoniformes, Salmonidae. The record is from Ensembl.
AGUUAACAUACCGAUACAUACUGCUGUAAAGAUAUGCUAUGCGUUUUGUAAGGAUAGUGUAGCUAACAUAACGUGUAACGUAACUUAUUUGAAAAGUCAUUACUUGAUUACAUUGCUCAACAUUUGUCAUAAUUAUUUAAAGCAGUUCAUGUAUAUGUCAUAUUUUGGCGAAUUUAGUACGACAUCCGGGAACUUUUGGCAUACUAACUACAUCAUACUAUGACAAAUAAGCAUACUAUAUACUCAAUUAACAUCACAAAUAGUACGGUUAGUAUGAGUAUUCUAACACAGCUCAGGUCACUGGGCAGCCAUUUUGUUUGUUUAAAAACUAGGUUGCCCCUUUAAAAAAGCAACACAACAUUCAAUCAACCAAUCUGCAGUUCAACCAAUAACAAAGCUGUAAUUACACCACUAUUUUGGAAAUAGGAUGGAUGGGGCUGGAGAAAUGUAACUACUCUCAAAUUCAUAGACAGACCUAUGGAUGCAAGGACUGACCAUCCAUGAUAUCAACAUUAUAGUUUUAACCAUGUUGAGGCUAUACAGUGUUGGUUUACAUUGUUUCUAAACAUUGGAGUAAAAAAAGCUUAUUUGGGGUUCUGAUGGGGUAAACAGUUGAACUAAGCUCAUAAGGCAUUCGUUAUAUUCUUCAAGAAUCAAUGCCUAUAAAUAAAUAAAUUAUUUAAGAGUCAAAAUAUGGAUGUAAAAUAUGGAUGUAGCAAUUGCAAAUGUCCCCUUUAACACCACACAUCAGUUCAACAACUGCAGAGUUUGUGCUUCUGUUUUUAAGACAGCACUUACUAGUGUUAAUCAGGGCCCCUUCAUCGUUAGAACCAUCGGACGCCUUAAGAUGCGCUUGGGAAACCGGGCCGAGAUAUCCAGUUUCCUCCUCUUCUUCAUUUUCCGAUGUGACAGUCACCUCCCCCUCCUCUUCGUUCACUGGAACGUCGUCGUCCCCCUCUUUAUUAACUCUGAACGAGUCUCCCACUUCUUUAACUGUGACGUCUUUCUCUUCUUUCACGGUAACCGCCUCAACCUCUACUUGUUUUUGUAUUGUAACAGCCUCCUCCUCUUUCACGAGAGCUUCCUUCUCCAUCCAGCAGACCUCCUCUUCUUCAUCAGGAACGUGGUUAAGUUUGAGACUGGAGCUCUGAGGCAUGUACUGAAGUCGCUAAGGGGUAUAAUUCAAAGCAGUCUCACUUUAUCAGCAGCACGUGAUCAAUGACGUCUGAAGAAUAAUUUCGUCGAACACCUGAUUGGUUUGGUAUUGGGCUCGUUCGACAUUGCAGCCGACAGUGCAGGUGGCUGCUGACUCAUUUACAAAUCACCUUGCAUCUUAAAUAACUACUCAUUAUUAUUUAUAAAUCAGUCAGCCAGUCACCGUUUACCCACAAUUCAGCAUGGACUUGAUGCUCUCGAUGAAGGCCAGUGGUUUAGUAGCAGACCUGAAGGCUACGGUGUUACGCCUUCCUCUCCUCUGAAGACCCAGUGAGGGUGGAGCUCAGUCAGAGAGCUGUUGAGGGACUGGUUAGGAAGAACACUUCUACAGCCAGAGAGGUGAGAGGACACACAUGGUUUAGAUGGUAAAUAUUUAUGUCCCCUUAGUGGUUCAUCACAUCAGCAAAAGGGAAUAUGUUCCAUCAUCCAUGUUUAUUUACAUUAGUGCAAAUUGACCACUGAUAUUGGUGUAAUUUCCCACCCCUUUUGGCUGUAUGAAAGUUAAUUUCCCCUCAGGCACACACAUUUGUUCUUUGCUAUUAUGGUCAUUUGUGUAGAAUGUACUUUUCCCCACUCAUUCA